Molecule: transfer RNA, 73 nt
Filed under: Oryza brachyantha (malo sina)
Lineage: Eukaryota; Viridiplantae; Streptophyta; Magnoliopsida; Poales; Poaceae
Rfam family: tRNA
About the family: Transfer RNA (tRNA) molecules are approximately 80 nucleotides in length. Their secondary structure includes four short double-helical elements and three loops (D, anti-codon, and T loops). Further hydrogen bonds mediate the characteristic L-shaped molecular structure. tRNAs have two regions of fundamental functional importance: the anti-codon, which is responsible for specific mRNA codon recognition, and the 3' end, to which the tRNAs corresponding amino acid is attached (by aminoacyl-tRNA synthetases). tRNAs cope with the degeneracy of the genetic code in two manners: having more than one tRNA (with a specific anti-codon) for a particular amino acid; and 'wobble' base-pairing, i.e. permitting non-standard base-pairing at the 3rd anti-codon position.
Source: Rfam by way of RNAcentral
GCGGAGAUAGCUCAGCUGGGAGAUCGUCAGACUGAAGAUCUGAAGGUCGCGUGUUCGAUCCACGCUCACCGCA